This 492-nucleotide ribosomal RNA is filed under the name Amphiporus formidabilis. RNAcentral describes it as "partial 16S ribosomal RNA". It matches the Rfam family "Bacterial large subunit ribosomal RNA", at positions 1783 to 2597 of the family's 2925-position model. Lineage: Eukaryota; Metazoa; Nemertea; Enopla; Monostilifera; Amphiporidae. The record is from RNAcentral.
AGCUUAAGACAUUGCCUGUUUUUCAAAAACAUAGUCUUUUGGUGUUUUAUAAAAGAUGUUUUCUGCUCAGUGGUAAAUAAAUAGCCGCGGUAAUUUGACCGUGCAAAGGUAGCAUAAUCAUUUGCUCUAUAAUUGAGGGCUGGAAUGAAUGGGAUAACAAGAUGUCUGCUUUAUUUUGGAGAAAAAAAGAAUUUGCUUUUUUAGUGAAGAAGCUAGGAUUUAGUUGGGGGACAAGAAGACCCUUUUGAGCUUUAUUAAUGAUGUUUUUUUUAAUUAUUUUUAAUUUGGUUGGGGCGACCAAGGAAGAGAGGAUCUUCCUUUUUUACUUUGAUCCGGAGGUUUCGAGUGAUGGACUAAGCUACCAAAGGGAUAACAGCGUAAUUUUUUUUAUGAGUUCUUAUUAAAAAAAAAGAUUGCGACCUCGAUGUUGACUUAUGGUUACCUUUUGGUGUAGCAGCUAUUCGGGUAGGUCUGUUCGACCUUUAAAACCUU